GAUGAAGAACGUAGCGAAAUGCGAUACUUGGUGUGAAUUGCAGAAUCCGUGAACCAUCGAGUCUUUGAACGCAAGUUGCGCCCGAAGCCAUUAGGCCGAGGGCACGCCUGCCUGGGCGUCACACGUCGUUGCCCCCCCAUCUACUCCUUCGGGAUUGCGGGGGGCGGAUGAUGGCCUCCCGUGCGCCUCGCCGCGCGGUUGGCAUAAAUGCCAAGUCCUCGGCGACGCACGCCACGACAAUCGGUGGUUGCGAAACCUCGGUUGCCCGUCGUGUGCGGUCGUCGCGCAUCGAGGGCUCGAAAAAAUUGCCGGGUUCCGGCUCGGCUUUCAACGCGACCCCAGGUCAGGCGGGGUUACCCGCUGAAUUUAAGCAUAUCAAUAAGCGGAGGA
Molecule: unclassified non-coding RNA, 390 nt
Filed under: soil metagenome
Description: partial contains 5.8S ribosomal RNA, internal transcribed spacer 2, and large subunit ribosomal RNA
Rfam family: 5.8S ribosomal RNA (bases 1-121)
Source: RNAcentral